CCUACGGGUGGCAGCAGUGGGGGAUAUUGCACAAUGGGGGAAACCCUGAUGCAGCGACGCCGCGUGGGUGAAGAAGCGCCUCGGCGCGUAAAGCCCUGUCAGCAGGGAAGAAAAUGACGGUACCUGAAGAAGAAGCCCCGGCUAACUACGUGCCAGCAGCCGCGGUAAUACGUAGGGGGCAAGCGUUAUACGGAUUUACUGGGUGUAAAGGGGGCGCAGAUGGCGAUGCAAGCCAGGAGUGAAAGCCCGGGGCCCAACCCCGGGACUGCUAUUGGAAAUGCGUGGCUAGAGUGCAGGAGGGGCAGGCGGAAUUCCUGGUGUAGCGGUGAAAUGCGUAGAUAUCAGGAGGAACACCGGUGGCGAAGGCGGCCUGCUGGACUGCAACUGACGUUGAGGCCCGAAAGCGUGGGGAGCAAACAGGAUUAGAUACCCCAGUAGUC
This 440-nucleotide ribosomal RNA is filed under the name uncultured bacterium. RNAcentral's name for it is "partial 16S ribosomal RNA". It matches the Rfam family "Bacterial small subunit ribosomal RNA", at positions 338 to 795 of the family's 1533-position model. The record is from RNAcentral.